RNAcentral lists this ribosomal RNA (468 nucleotides) under uncultured bacterium. Its description in RNAcentral is "partial 16S ribosomal RNA". It matches the Rfam family "Bacterial small subunit ribosomal RNA", at positions 28 to 507 of the family's 1533-position model. The record is from RNAcentral.
GACGAACGCUGGCGGCGUGCUUAACACAUGCAAGUCGAACGGAAAGGCCCUGCUUUUGUGGGGUGCUCGAGUGGCGAACGGGUGAGUAACACGUGAGUAACCUGCCCUUGACUUUGGGAUAACUUCAGGAAACUGGGGCUAAUACCGGAUAGGAGCUCCUGCUGCAUGGUGGGGGUUGGAAAGUUUCGGCGGUUGGGGAUGGACUCGCGGCUUAUCAGCUUGUUGGUGGGGUAGUGGCUUACCAAGGCUUUGACGGGUAGCCGGCCUGGGAGGGUGACCGGCGACAUUGGGACUGAGAUACGGCCCAGACUCCAACGGGAGGCAGCAGUGGGGAACAUUGCACAAUGGGCGGGAGCCUGAUGCAGCAACGCCGCGUGCGGGAUGACGGCCUUCGGGUUGUAAACCGCUUUCGCCUGUGACGAAGCGUGAGUGACGGUAAUGGGUAAAGAAGCACCGGCUAACUACGUG